CGGAGGAUCCAAGCGUUAUCCGGAAUCAUUGGGUUUAAAGGGUCCGUAGGCGGUUUGUUAAGUCAGUGGUGAAAUCUGGUCGCUCAACGAUCAAACGGCCAUUGAUACUGACAGACUUGAAUUAUUGGGAAGUAACUAGAAUAUGUAGUGUAGCGGUGAAAUGCUUAGAUAUUACAUGGAAUACCAAUUGCGAAGGCAGGUUACUAUCAAUAUAUUGACGCUGAUGGACGAAAGCGUGGGGAGCGAACAGGAUUAGAUACCCUGGUAGUCCACGCCGUAAACGAUGGAUACUAGCUGUUGGGAGCAAUUUCAGUGGCUAAGCGAAAGUGAUAAGUAUCCCACCUGGGGAGUACGUUCGCAAGAAUG
This 366-nucleotide ribosomal RNA is filed under the name uncultured organism. Its description in RNAcentral is "bacterial SSU rRNA". It matches the Rfam family "Bacterial small subunit ribosomal RNA", at positions 526 to 896 of the family's 1533-position model. The record is from RNAcentral.